GCAGGCGCGAAAACUUUACAAUGCGGGAAACCGUGAUAAGGGAACACCGAGUGCCAGCAUCAUAUGCUGGCUGUCCAGAUGUGUAAACUACAUCUGUUAGCAAGGGCCGGGCAAGACCGGUGCCAGCCGCCGCGGUAACACCGGCGGCCCGAGUGGUGACCGUUAUUAUUGGGUCUAAAGGGUCCGUAGCCGGUUUGGUCAGUCCUCCGGGAAAUCUGAUAGCUUAACUGUUAGGCUUUCGGGGGAUACUGCCAGGCUUGGAACCGGGAGAGGUAAGAGGUACUACAGGGGUAGGAGUGAAAUCUUGUAAUCCCUGUGAGACCACCUGUGGCGAAGGCGUCUUACCAGAACGGGUUCGACGGUGAGGGACGAAAGCUGGGGGCACGAACCGGAUUAGAUACCCGGGUAGUCCCAGCCGUAAACUAUGCUCGCUGGGUGUCAGGCAUGGCGCGACCGUGUCUGGUGCCGCAGGGAAGCCGUGAAGCGAGCCACCUGGGAAGUACGGCCGCAAGGCUGAAACUUAAAGGAAUUGGCGGGGGAGCACAACAACGGGUGGAGCCUGCGGUUUAAUUGGACUCAACGCCGGACAACUCACCGGGAACGAC
This 605-nucleotide ribosomal RNA is filed under the name uncultured archaeon. RNAcentral's name for it is "bacterial SSU rRNA". It matches the Rfam family "Archaeal small subunit ribosomal RNA", at positions 335 to 940 of the family's 1478-position model. The record is from RNAcentral.